GUCGGGUGCGGUGGCGCGUGCCUGUAAUCCAAGCUACCGGGAGGCUGAGGUUGGAGGAUCGUUUGAGCUCAGGAGCUCUGAGCUGCAGCGGACUAUGCCGAUCGGGUGUCCGCACUAAGUUCGGCAUCGAUAUGGUGAUCCUGGGGGAGCCCGGGGCCACCAGGUCGUCUAAAGAGGGGUGCACCGGCCCAGGUCGGAGACGAAGCAGGUCAAAGCCCCCGUGUCGCUCAGUAGUGGGAUCGCGCCUGUGAAUAGACGCUGCAGUUCAGCCUGAGCAAUACAGCGAGACCCAAUCUUU
This 298-nucleotide signal recognition particle RNA is filed under the name Neolamprologus brichardi. RNAcentral's name for it is "Metazoan signal recognition particle RNA (ENSNBRG00000019173.1)". It matches the Rfam family "Metazoan signal recognition particle RNA". From Rfam's summary of the family: The signal recognition particle (SRP) is a universally conserved ribonucleoprotein. It is involved in the co-translational targeting of proteins to membranes. The eukaryotic SRP consists of a 300-nucleotide 7S RNA and six proteins: SRPs 72, 68, 54, 19, 14, and 9. The record is from RNAcentral. Lineage: Eukaryota; Metazoa; Chordata; Actinopteri; Cichliformes; Cichlidae.